GAUGAACGCUGGCGGCGUGCCUAAUACAUGCAAGUCGAGCGAACAGACGAGGAGCUUGCUUCUCUGACGUUAGCGGCGGACGGGUGAGUAACACGUGGAUAACCUACCUAUAAGACUGGGAUAACUUCGGGAAACCGGAUCUAAUACCGGAUAAGAUAUUGAACCGCAUGGUUCAAUAGUGAAAGACGGUUUUGCUGUCACUUAUAGAUGGAUCCGCGCCGCAUUAGCUAGUUGGUAAGGUAACGGCUUACCAAGGCAACGAUGCGUAGCCGACCUGAGAGGGUGAUCAGCCACACUGGAACUGAGACACGGUCCAGACUCCUACGGGAGGCAGCAGUAGGGAAUCUUCCGCAAUGGGCGAAAGCCUGACGGAGCAACGCCGCGUGAGUGAUGAAGGUCUUCGGAUCGUAAAACUCUGUUAUUAGGGAAGAACAAAUGUGUAAGUAACUAUGCACGUCUUGACGGUACCUACUCAGAAAGCCACGGCUAACUACGUG
This 497-nucleotide ribosomal RNA is filed under the name uncultured bacterium. RNAcentral's name for it is "partial 16S ribosomal RNA". It matches the Rfam family "Bacterial small subunit ribosomal RNA", at positions 28 to 507 of the family's 1533-position model. The record is from RNAcentral.